This 138-nucleotide ribosomal RNA is filed under the name uncultured eukaryote. Its description in RNAcentral is "partial 18S ribosomal RNA". It matches the Rfam family "Eukaryotic small subunit ribosomal RNA", at positions 1299 to 1458 of the family's 1831-position model. The record is from RNAcentral.
UGGUGGAGUGAUUUGUCUGGUUAAUUCCGUUAACGAACGAGACCUCAGCUUGCUAACUAGUUGCGCGAAGUUUUUCUUCGCGUGAACUUCUUAGAGGGACUGCGGGCGUUUAGCCCGCGGAGGUUUGAGGCAAUAACA